UUAGUUAAAGCCAAAAAGCGGCAUGUUGCUGUUAACAUCAAAAUUGAAUUUUAAUUCUAACUAUU
This 65-nucleotide transfer RNA is filed under the name Laemobothrion tinnunculi. RNAcentral's name for it is "tRNA-Asn". Lineage: Eukaryota; Metazoa; Arthropoda; Insecta; Psocodea; Laemobothriidae. The record is from RNAcentral.